GAGGGUAUAGCUCAGUGGUAGAGCGCAUACUUAGCAUGCACAAGGUCCUGGGUUCAAUCCCCAGUACCUCCA
This 72-nucleotide transfer RNA is filed under the name Camelus dromedarius (Arabian camel). It matches the Rfam family "tRNA". From Rfam's summary of the family: Transfer RNA (tRNA) molecules are approximately 80 nucleotides in length. Their secondary structure includes four short double-helical elements and three loops (D, anti-codon, and T loops). The record is from Rfam by way of RNAcentral. RNAcentral also lists the same sequence under 2 other names. Lineage: Eukaryota; Metazoa; Chordata; Mammalia; Artiodactyla; Camelidae.